This is a long non-coding RNA of Pan paniscus (pygmy chimpanzee), 2216 nucleotides long. NCBI's taxonomy places the organism in Eukaryota, Metazoa, Chordata, Mammalia, Primates, Hominidae. The record is from Ensembl.
AUGCCUUGCCCUGCCUCAGCUCGCGCACGGUGCGCGCACCCACUGACCCGUGGUCACUGUCUGGCACUCCCUAGUGAGAUGAACCCGGUACCUCAGAUGGAAAUGCAGAAAUCACCGUCUUCUGCGUCGCUCACGCUGGGAGCUGUAGACCGGAGCUGUUCCUAUUCGGCCAUCUUGGCUCAACAUCGACAAUUCGACUUUUAUGAGAAAAAGAUGACCCAGGGCAAAUUUGGAAGGUUCCAGAGGAAGACAUUAGGCUCUAUUCUUCAGGUUAAUCACCAGGAAAAUGGCAACAACUGAAGACAGAAUAUCAGAUUUGAGACCAAAGGAGUCUGUUCUCAUCUUUCAGGUGGGACCUGGGGAAGUGGUAAGAUAUUAAAGAAAAAAUGGCCCUGGGUUUGUUCAGAAAAGGAAGCCUAAACCAGUCUCACAGAGGGUCUUAUACUGUGGUUUAGAAGCAACAAGAUGAUCCAAGAUGGAAGGUUGAUCUUGGCUGAAAAUGAGGGCUACGGCAGAUUGGAGGGUAGACUUUUCCACAGGAGCCCAAGUGCCCUGCUGAUACUGAGGAGCACCUAGGAGAAAGGAAAAACUCUGGAUUCUGUAGUAAAGUUUCUAGCACUCCAAGGAACAUAGCUCAAAAGGGAAAUUAACUUGUUCUACAAUUUUUUUUUUUACCCUUGGGUUUGUGAACUGAACUCUUACAGAUAUGUUUUAUAUCCUGAUUUUUUUGCUAUCUUCAAGAUUUCCUAAUGAAAAUCAUUUUUAAUACUGGCUUAAUAUGUCGUUGAUUUGAUGCCGUAAUUUUCCUAACCAAUCCCUUAUUUUUAAACAUUUUUAUUAUUUCUAUUUUUUGCCAUUAUAAUUACUGCUAUGUAUUUCAAAGCAUGAGCAUCUAGGAUGAGUGUUUAAAAAAAUUCCUGAAGCGGAGCUAUUGGUUAAAAGGCCAGAACAAUUUUCUUUCCAAUGGUGCAUUGUUACCAAAUUGCUUUCCAAAAGUUUUGUAGAAAUGUAAUCAUGAGUCAUCUAUAGGAACUCAUUGUUAGACAUGAUAUCAGCAUCAAAUGACUUUACCAUUUUAUAGUUGAAGAAGGGAUUUCACUGGUCUAUAAAUCACGUAUAUUUCCUUUUGCUGUGGUUAAAAGGGCAACAUAUAUUCAUUUUAGAAAAUUUAAAAUGUACAGGAAAGUGUGAAAAUCACCAAUAAUCCCAUUACUUGAGGAUAGCUACUGUUUACAUGCUAAUGUACUUUUCCCAGUCUUUCUUUCUCUGAGUGUGCAUAUCUACUCACAUACAGAAUCACAUGCACCUAUAUUUUGCUUCUUACAAAAUUGGAAUCAUAUAAUAUAUAUCAUUAUGCACAUUUUUGAUUUAAGAAUGAUAUGAAAGUUUUCCAGUAUCAUAAAAUAUUCUCCUAAAACAUUAAUUUGCACAAUUAUUAACGUUUGAAACCUGCCUUAGACACAAAACACUCAAUAAUAGCUUGCUGUUGCUGUGAUGUAAUGGGGAUAGUAAAACCAUUAAGUGGAGGCUGAGGCGGAAGAAUUGCUUGACGCCAGGAGUUUGAGACAAGCCUGGGCAACAUAGCAAGACCCCAUGUCUACAAAAAGAAACCAACAGUGGGAGGAUGGGCUGCAGCAUUAAAACAUGACUUUAAAUGACUCUAUAUAAUGUAUUAUAAUGUUUUGUUAUAUACCACAAUUUUUUAAAUCAUCUCCCCAGUUAUUGGAGAUUUAGAUUAUUUCCUAUUUUUCACCAUUGUAAUAAUUCCAAGAGGAUCAUCCCUGUAUACAUCUUUGUGCACAUAUCUAGCUCCAAUUAUUUUCUUCAGAUAAAUCGUUAAAUGUCAAGAUGUUUGAAUAAAAAAUUAUGCAUGUGUUAAGGCUUCUUGUUGUUACCAAAUUGCCUUCUAGUAAGUUUAUGCCAUUUUCAACACUCAUUAGUAGUAAUUGUAUGAGAAUAUCUAUUUACUUGCACCUAUGCCAGAACUGGGCAUUAUAAUAUUUAAAUAUCUCUGCCAUUUCAUUUGCAAAAAACAACAUCUUGUGGUUUAAAAAAUUUUGGUUAAUAGUGAUAUUGACCAGUUCCCCAAGUAUGCUAAUUAUUAUAUCUCACCGUUUGUAAAUAUUCUUUUUGAUGUCUUCUUCAGGUGAAUUCCAUGACCUUGAGAGCAAAUAUACUGAGUAGUAUUUAAUAAACACUCGUUGAUUACUUCGAGA